This is a long non-coding RNA of Chenopodium quinoa (quinoa), 1244 nucleotides long. RefSeq lists it as uncharacterized. NCBI's taxonomy places the organism in Eukaryota, Viridiplantae, Streptophyta, Magnoliopsida, Caryophyllales, Amaranthaceae. The record is from RefSeq and is a predicted model, not a curated record. The transcript has 3 exons.
UCUACAAAAGAUUAUAAUAUGAUUCCAAUUAGGUUGGAAAUUAGACUUCUAGAUCUUUUCAAAGACAUAUUAUAUGAAUUAUUUCAACUUCUGGAUCAAAAGAUAUGCUAAAAAACAAAAUCCGCAAAAAGCUGUCUCAUCGCUCCGCGAUGGCUCCAGUUUUAUUCCAAUAAUUCGAAUUCAUUGUAAUCCCCCAUAUUUUCAACUUACUUAAGGUAUAUUUAUUUAUUAUUUAUAUUAAUUUUAUAAUAUGAAUUAUUUUGAUGUAAAAACAAUAAGAUUUUAAAGCUAAAACUAUUAAGUGUUUAAUUUAAAUCAUAAUCCCUUUUAAAUUUACUAGCCCACUACUUAAAUCUUACUCAAGCCCAAACCAAUCCUACUCCUACUUGGAUUAGGAGAGUUAAGCCCAUACCCUUACAAAAAUAUAAAAACACCAAACCCUCACACUCUUCCUCUCUCACGUAAAAAAAAAAAAAAAAAAAAGGAAAACCCCCUCAUUCCUAUUCUCCUCUUCACGUGAUUCACAAGAGAAAAAAAAACACAUUGAAGCUGCUGCCCUGAAGCCCAGCCACCUGCACCGCCGCCCCCUCAUCAGCCACCGCUGCGCCGCCCUACCCUGCUGCCGCCGUCCUCCAGCCACCCCUGCAGUAGAGAGGAUUUUGUAGAAGGCGACUUCUAGUUUCUAAAGUGGCCAACCGAAUCGUUUACACAAGGUACUCAUAGGAUUAAAGAGAGAAUUAUUGGGGUGUUACAGACUAACCCCAGCUUCUUACACCAGCAGCAUUCGUAUCUAGGUGGUGGCAUCUUGAGUGGAGUGUUGGUUGCUUUUCUCAUUUUAAUUGCUAUUUACUUCUGAAGUUACUUAAACUCGAUUUCAUUUUUAUUCUACUUCUAUUGGUUUGAGUUUUGAAUAAGGGCCUUAAUGGUUCCAAGUUGUAAGACUUAAUUUGGUUUUGUUUGUUGGUUUUGAUACUUAUUUAUAACUGAUUCAAUUUUUCCGCUGCUAAUUUCUGAUUAUAUAGCCUUAAGGUUUGAACAUGUUGCGGUAACACGCCAGUAAUUCUCUUAAAUAUAGUUUAGGGUACUCACAGGUUUGAAGAGAGAAUUAUUGGGGUGUUACAUUCUAACUCUAUUUUAUUGUUUUCGAUCAUUUUUCUCUAUAUAUAGGGUCUUUUUCCCUGUUUUCAAUCAUCAACAAUCCUCUAAUUCUAUUCUCUUCUCUCUAUUAAGAAAUAGCUUAUUCU